AAACCAACGAGAACGGGGACAGAGAACCGUCAUGCUCCAAAACCUGCAGUCAUCUCGGUUCAGUCAGAUGCAGAAGGCCAACAGCACAGUACUCAGGUAAUAAAGCAUCCCAUCCGUGCCUCCUGCCCUGCAGGGCCGUGCCACUCCAUCCCCAGCAGCCCGCACCGGUGUGACACCGCAGCUCCACCUGCUCUGACCACAUCUCCACAGCACUUCCAGAGGUGGAACUGCACCGGCC
Molecule: long non-coding RNA, 238 nt
Filed under: Gallus gallus (chicken)
Lineage: Eukaryota; Metazoa; Chordata; Aves; Galliformes; Phasianidae
Description: long non-coding RNA NONGGAT002225
Source: RNAcentral